UCCUGGCUCAGGAUGAACGCUGGCGGCGUGCCUAACACAUGCAAGUCGAACGGAGCGCCCGGACGGAGUAUUUCGGUACAAAGACCGGGUGGCUGAGUGGCGGACGGGUGAGUAACGCGUGGACAACCUGCCGUGUACAGGGGGAUAACAGCCGGAAACGGCUGCUAAUACCGCAUAUGCGCACAGUGCCGCAUGGCACAGGGCGGAAAGCCUAGAUCUUAUCUAGUACGGUACACGAUGGGUCCGCGUCUGAUUAGGUAGUUGGCGGGGUAACGGCCCACCAAGCCCACGAUCAGUAGCCGGCCUGAGAGGGCGGACGGCCACACUGGGACUGAGACACGGCCCAGACUCCUGCGGGAGGCAGCAGUGGGGAAUAUUGCACAAUGGGGGGAACCCUGAUGCAGCGACGCCGCGUGAAGGAAGAAGUAUCUCGGUAUGUAAACUUCUAUCAGCAGGGAAGAAAGAGGACGGUACCUGACUAAGAAGCCCCGGCUAACUACGUGCCAGCAGCC
This 512-nucleotide ribosomal RNA is filed under the name uncultured bacterium. Its description in RNAcentral is "bacterial SSU rRNA". It matches the Rfam family "Bacterial small subunit ribosomal RNA", at positions 17 to 516 of the family's 1533-position model. The record is from RNAcentral.